Molecule: ribosomal RNA, 504 nt
Filed under: uncultured bacterium
Lineage: Bacteria
Description: bacterial SSU rRNA
Rfam family: Bacterial small subunit ribosomal RNA
Source: RNAcentral
CUGGCGGCAUGCCUAAGACAUGCAAGUCGUACGAAGCGGCCCACUGAAGUCUGAGUGCUUGCGCAAAGAUGGACGUGGAUCACCGCUUAGUGGCAAACGGGUGAGUAACACGUGGGUUACCUGCCUCUAAAGUUGGGGGAUAACAGUUGGAAACGACUGGUAAUACCGAAUGUGCUCUACGGAGUAAAGAAGCCCUUAAAGCUUCGCUUAGAGAUGGGCCUGCGGCGCAUUAGCUAGUUGGUGAGGUAAUGGCCCACCAAGGCAACGAUGCGUAGCCGAACUGAGAGGUUGAUCGGCCACAUUGGGACUGAGACACGGCCCAGACUCCUACGGGAGACAGCAGUUAGGAAUAUUCGUCAAUGGGGGAAACCCUGAACGAGCAAUGCCGCGUGAGUGAUGAAGGUCUUACAGAUUGUAAAACUCUGUUGUAUGGAAAAAAUGACUAGGUUAGGAAAUGAACCUAGUGUGAUGGUACCAUGCCAGAAAGCCCCGGCUAACUACGUG